Molecule: long non-coding RNA, 2336 nt
Filed under: Olea europaea subsp. europaea
Lineage: Eukaryota; Viridiplantae; Streptophyta; Magnoliopsida; Lamiales; Oleaceae
Source: RNAcentral
AAAUAACACACAUGGCAGAGGAGAAUAACAGAGAAAGGAAGGAGGGGGACCAAAAAAGAAGAAGAAAAAAGAAGAAAUGUGCGUUUUGAAGCUUUAAUUCUCCAUUUCUCCAAUUUUUCCAUUGAUUUAGAGAGGUAAGUGUAAGUAUGUUGAAUUAUAUUUUUGUGUUUAUAGAAAAAUUUCUCAAAUUUAAGGUUUAGCAAAAAUUAAUAAUUAUUGAUAUAUGUUUGAGGUAUUAAACAACAAUAAUAAUAUUAGUGUUGAAAGAAAUGAAAGGUGAAAUGCGUUUGUAAAUUAGAGUUUCAAUCUUUAAUUUGUUGUGUUUAUAUGUUAUAAAAUGCUUGAUUUAUGAGGUAUUAGAGUGGUAAAAGGAUUUGGGGUUAGAUUUUGAUAUUUAUAAUUAAAUUUCGUGCAAAAUUCAUGUGUAGGUGCUACUUCUAAAAUUCUGCCCAGAAAACUGCUAUUUCUGUCAAUGGUUUCGAUUCCAGAUUGCAAUAUACAGAAAUUGGUGCCAGAUUUCUAUAUUCUAGAAUUUUAUUUCUAUUUUUGUCAAACCUUGGAUUUCCAGAUUUUUAAAGGUUUGAAUGAAUUUGUAUGACAAAUAUUGAAGUCUAUGUAUUGGGCUAACUAUGUAUAAGGGUUGUAUAUGUACAACUAGUGAUUUUAAGGAAGUGUGAGUGGUGUAAUGGAUUUGAUAGUGCAUGGUGAUUAGUUGAUAAAUCAUUAAAGAGAAGAACAGUUGGGGAAUUUGAGAUGUAAGAGUAAGUAUAAAAAUUGAGAAGUUAAGUGGUGGAUUUGUAUUAUUUAAUUGUUAGGUUUUUAAUUUGAGAAAUUAUAUCGUUAUUUCAUAUAGGGACGUGAAAGCUUGGAAAUGCUCGUCAAUUUAAUCAGAUUUCUAUGUAUAGAUUUGUGAGUGGAAAAGCUUCAAUAAUUUCAAAGUAUUUAUAAAUUAAAUAUAUUAUUAAAUUAUGUGAAUUAUUUGCUCAAUUAUAUGAUUACCAUUAAAGUUUUUUUUAUCAUGAUACAUGUGGAAUUCUAAAGAUUGUAUAUGGUGCAUUUGAGAAUUGAAACAUGAGACGUGAUACUGAGAUCGACCAGAAAAGUACCCGUGAUUAUAUACUUCUUCUAAUUCACAGAGAGGCCUUGUCCGUGUUCUAUAGUACAUUGAUGGGUCGAUUGGUGAUGAAGGGGUUGUGGCCGUGUAUAUAUAGUUCACUAAGGGGCCUUGGCCGUAUUUUAUAAUUGGUUAUCUGAGGUCUUUGAGACCCAUUUUCGUGUACGAAGGUGGCCAAAAAGCCUAUGGUGAAAAUGCUUGACCCGAGAGGCGGAUUUCAGAUUUUAGUCAGAGGGUACAUUUUUUGUGGAUCACAUGUGAUGUAACAAGAUAAUGGUAUAGAUAUCAGCUGAUGACUACAUCAUGAAUAUGAGAUGAUAUUUGUGAUCUGCCUAGUCAUACUACCAAGAAUUGUAACAAACUUUCGUUGUGCCUUGAUGCCAAUUGUGCUACUGCUACUGCUACCUCCAAAAAUAGAAAAUGGCUUCUAGAUUCCACUGCCUCUCACAAUAUUACCUUUGAUUUGACAAAUUUGCCUAUUCACUCGGAGUAUGAUUGUCAAAAUGUUGUUCUUGGAGAUGGUACCUAUUUAAAAGUCACUCACAUUGGCUCAACUUCUCCUUACUCAUGAUAAUAGUGUUACUAAUGUUACUAUUAAAUUUUACCCUUUCGUUUUCUUAGUGAAGUAUCGAAUGAUGGGAGUGGUGCUCAUGCAUGGUAAAUGUGAAGAUGGAGUCUAUUCGAUUCGGUAGCACUAUGACCUCUCUCUAGCGAAGCCCAUGCAAUAAGCCUUACUGGAACCUGAGUCUCUUUUUCACAAUGGCACCAUCGUUUGGGGCAUCCUACCCCCAAACUUUUAUCAUUGUUACUCUGCAAUUAUUCUUUACCAAUUUUCUUGUCAAAGUCCUCUUUCUUGUAUUUCAUGUCAAUGCAAUAAAUCUCGUAAAUUGCCAUUUACUUGCACUUUUCUUACAAGCCAUGCUCCGUUAGGGUUUGUGUAUGCUGAUGUUUGGGGUCCUUAUCCAGUUACCUUUACUAAUGGCUUUUCGCUAAUAUGUCUUUUUUGUUAAUCAUUUCACUAAAUAUUGCUAGUUUUAUCCGAUGAAGAACAAAUCUGAUGUUAGUCUUAUUUUUGUUCAAUUAACUACCAUGCUUGAAAAUCUGUUUGCUUGCGAAAUAAAAAAUCUGUAUUCUGAUAAUGGUGGUGGAUUCAUCAAAUUAUGUUCCUUUUUUGGCUCAACAUGGUAUUAAUCACUUUACAAUAGCUCUCCAUAUGCCCCAG